AGCUGAGCCGGCAAGGUCUGCAGCGGCAUCGUCUGCAUCAUCAGUGGUGAGAAGAUGGGCAGCUCCAUGGGCAUGGAGAGUUGGCACAGGAAGCCGGAAUCUUCUCUCACAGAGCCUGGGUCAGCAGAAGAGGGCUUCAGAUCUCCACUGUGCUCUGCGCUUACAGAGGGCAAGAUGUUCUUUCCCAGAUCCUCUGAGGUUUCUGUAAUUUUAAAAAAAAAAAAGAAAAAGAAAAAGAAAAAAAAAAGGCCAAGCCCAGUGAUAAAGAAGGCUUUGUUUCAAGGAUGGCACCCACAACUAUCUACCUAGCAAGUCCUUGUGAACAUUGAAUCUUAUAGUAAGGGAAAUACCCAGUUGGAACAGAGUCUCUCCACACAGCCCCUGAAAAGAGUAUAUACUAUAAGCAAGUGCACAUGAACAGAGGGGACUAAAAGGAAAUAAAAAAGUUGCAUUCAUAGUAGGUCUGUAUCCUAUCUUGGAUCUGUUUUUACACGCCAUUCAGUUGCUUGACUCAGAAUCUUGAGUUUCUCAAGAACUGGUUUGAAGGUUACUGAUCUUAGACUGGAUUCCCUUUUGCGUGGACCCGAACUAAAAAAUAUGUGAAUUAAUGCUAUCCUAAAUUGUGGGGAUUUUAAGAUAACUGUUGUCCAUUGUAAUAUAAGAAAUUUUGGAAUAUGUUUUUUAGCAUAAUUUGUUGUAACAUAACUUUUGACUCUCCUCUCUGUUCCAUAAGAAAUGAACAUUCAACUGGCCAUUAAAUUAUAUAAAAAUUA
Neogale vison (American mink) is the source of this 773-nucleotide long non-coding RNA. RefSeq lists it as uncharacterized. The record is from RefSeq and is a predicted model, not a curated record. The transcript is spliced from 2 exons. Lineage: Eukaryota; Metazoa; Chordata; Mammalia; Carnivora; Mustelidae.